RNAcentral lists this ribosomal RNA (510 nucleotides) under uncultured bacterium. RNAcentral's name for it is "bacterial SSU rRNA". It matches the Rfam family "Bacterial small subunit ribosomal RNA", at positions 149 to 654 of the family's 1533-position model. The record is from RNAcentral.
UUCCGAAAGGGACGCUAAUACCGCAUACGCCCCAAGGGGGAAAGCGGGGGAUCUUCGGACCUCGUGCUACAGGAUGAGCUUGCGUCGGAUUAGCUAGUUGGUGGGGUAAAGGCCUACCAAGGCGACGAUCCGUAGCUGGUCUGAGAGGAUGAUCAGCCACACCGGGACUGAGACACGGCCCGGACUCCUACGGGAGGCAGCAGUGGGGAAUAUUGCGCAAUGGGGGCAACCCUGACGCAGCCAUGCCGCGUGUGUGAAGAAGGCCUUCGGGUUGUAAAGCACUUUCAGUGGGGAGGAAAGGGCGCUGGCUAAUAUCCAGUGCAGUUGACGCUACCCACAGAAGAAGCACCGGCUAAUUCCGUGCCAGCAGCCGCGGUAAUACGGAAGGUGCGAGCGUUAAUCGGAAUUACUGGGCGUAAAGCGCGCGUAGGCGGCUUGGUAAGUCGGGUGUGAAAGCCCCGGGCUCAACCUGGGAACUGCAUUCGAUACUGCUGGGCUAGAGUACGAGAG